CCUAACCUACAUUAAAGGAUAAACUUGAAGAUUUCAUUUGAAAUCGAGUUUCAAUUCUCAUUCUAUUUUGGAAUUGAAACUCCAAGAAUCCAAGCCUUUCAAUCAUCCAUUCCACUUCCUGCAAGUUGUUAGACUCGAGCCAAGGAAAAUUGGAAGCAAGAUCAAGCUCAAUUGAAGCAAACCGAGGGUGAAUUUUUAGAUUUUUCUCCUCUUCGAUUCUCUCUAAAUUCUCCAUUAUUUUAUUUGUUCUUUGGUUGUCUGAAGACCUACCAAU
This 274-nucleotide long non-coding RNA is filed under the name Lathyrus oleraceus (garden pea). RNAcentral's name for it is "Pisum sativum (pea) long non-coding RNA (PSAT_LNC005234)". The record is from RNAcentral. Lineage: Eukaryota; Viridiplantae; Streptophyta; Magnoliopsida; Fabales; Fabaceae.